GUGCGUAAUAGCUCACUAGUCGAGAGGUCCUGCGCCGAAAAUGUCCGGGGCUAAACACUACACCGAAGCUGAGGAAUGACAAUGUCAUUGGUAGAGGAGCAUUCUUAACUGCGACGAAGCUGUACCGAAAGGAGCAGUGGAGUGUUAAGAAGAGAGAAUGCCGGAAUGAGUAGCGAGAGUGAGGUGAGAAUCCUCACGGCCGAAUAUCUAAGGUUUCCAGGGUAAAGCUGAUCUGCCCUGGGUAAGUCGGGACCUAAGGCGAGGUCGAAAGACGUAGUCGAUGGACAACAGGUUGAAAUUCCUGUACUGCAAUGUAUCAGAAAUGUGGGGACACAGACAGAGAGCCGGAGCCGGGAAUGGAGAAACCGGUGCAAGCGAGGUAGGAGAACAGCAGGCAAAUCCGCUGUUCAAUCCAAAGACGUGACGCGGAGCGAAAUUAAAGUAGCGAAGCCGGUGAGCUGGCUGUCAGGAAAAUCCGCUAUUGUGUACAUUGUACCCGUACCGUAAACCGACACAGGUGGAUGAGGAGAGAAUCCUAAGGCCGACGGAAGAAGCAUUGUUAAGGAACUCGGCAAAAUGGCCCCGUAACUUCGGGAUAAGGGGUGCCUACGAAGGUAGGCCGCAGAGAAUUGGCCCAAGCAACUGUUUAGCAAAAACACAGGUCUAUGCGAAACCGUAAGGUGAUGUAUAUGGGCUGACGCCUGCCCGGUGCUGGAAGGUUAAGGGGAGAGGUUAGACUUAAGUCGAAGCCUUGAACUUAAGCCCCAGUAAACGGCGGCCGUAACUAUAACGGUCCUAAGGUAGCGAAAUUCCUUGUCGGGUAAGUUCCGACCCGCACGAAAGGCGUAAUGAUUUGGGCACUGUCUCGACAAUGCAUCCGGUGAAAUUGAAGUACCAGUGAAGAUGCUGGUUACCUGCGCCAGGACGGAAAGACCCCAUGGAGCUUUACUCUAGCUUGAUACUGGGAUUCGAUAUUGCAUGUACAGGAUAGGUGGGAGACUAGGAGACAUGAACGCCAGUUUGUGUGGAGUCGUCCUUGGGAUACCACCCUUGCAGUAUUGGGUUUCUAACAUGCAGCCGUGAUCCGGCUGGUGGACAAUGUCAGGUGGGGAGUUUGACUGGGGCGGUCGCCUCCGAAAGGGUAUCGGAGGCGCUCAAAGGUUCCCUCAGAAUGGUCGGAAACCAUUCGAAGAGUGCAAAGGCAGAAGGGAGCUUGACUGUGACACCGACGGGUGGAGCAGGUACGAAAGUAGGACUUAGUGAUCCGGUGGUAUAA
RNAcentral lists this ribosomal RNA (1276 nucleotides) under human gut metagenome. RNAcentral's name for it is "bacterial LSU rRNA". It matches the Rfam family "Bacterial large subunit ribosomal RNA", at positions 1130 to 2431 of the family's 2925-position model. The record is from RNAcentral.